AGAAUUUGAUCUUGGUUCAGAUUGAAUGCUGACGGCGUGGAUGAGGCAUGCAAGUCGCACGAGACGGAGACUUCGGUCAGUGUCUAGUGGCGAAAGGGUUAGUAAUACAUGAAUAACUUACCUUUAACCCGGGAAUAACGGUUGGAAACGGCCGCUAAUACUCGAUGAGGUAUCUUUAAGUACGCUUUUAGAUAUCAAAGUGGGGGACUACUUCGGUAGCCUUGCGGUUGAAGAGAGGUUCAUGGGAUAUCAGCUUGUUGGUGUAGUAAAAGCGCACCAAGGCUAAGACGUCUAGGCGGGUUGAGAGGUCGACCGCCAACAUUGGGACUGAGACACUGCCCAAACUCCUACGGGAGGCUGCAGUCGAGAAUCAUUCGCAAUGGCGAAAGCCCGACGAUGCGACGCCGUGUGAACGAUGAAGGCCCUAGGGUUGUAAAGUUCUUUCGCUCGUGAACAAGAGAGGUCGGUGAAUAACCGGCCGAUUUGAGGGUAGCAGGUAAAGAAGCACCGGCUAACUCCGUGCCAGCAGCUGCGGUAAUACGGAGGGUGCAAGCAUUAAUCGGAUUUAUUGGGCGUAAAGGGCGCGUAGGCGGAUUGGUAAGUCAGAUGUGAAAUUCCGGGGCUCAACUUCGGAGCUGCAUUUGAAACUACCAGUCUAGAGGAUUGACGGAGAAAACGGAAUUCCACGUGUAGCGGUGAAAUGCGUAGAUAUGUGGAAGAACACCCGUGGCGAAAGCGGUUUUCUAGUUUAUUCCUGACGCUAAGGCGCGAGAGCUAGGGGAGCAAACAGGAUUAGAUACCCUGGUAGUCCUAGCCGUAAACGAUGUAUACUUGGUGUAGCUGGGCUCAACCCCGGCUGUGCCGGAGCUAGCGCGUUAAGUAUACCGCCUGGGGAGUACGCUCGCAAGGGUGAAACUCAAAAGAAUUGACGGGGGCCCGCACAAGCAGUGGAGCAUGUGGUUUAAUUCGAUGCAACGCGAAGAACCUUACCCAGGCUCGAAGUGCAGCGGCUAGCAACAGAAAUGUUGUGUUUCGUAAGAACUGCUGUAUAGGUGCUGCAUGGCUGUCGUCAGCUCGUGCCGUGAGGUGUUGGGUUAAGUCCCGCAACGAGCGCAACCCUUAUCACUAGUUGCCAGCAUGUAAUGAUGGGAACUCUAGUGAGACUGCCUAGGUUAACUAGGAGGAAGGUGAGGAUGACGUCAAGUCCGCAUGGCCUUUAUGUCUGGGGCUACACACGUGCUACAAUGGUCGGUACAGAAGGCAGCGAGACCGCAAGGUGGAGCAAAUCCUAGAAAGCCGAUCUCAGUUCGGAUUGUAGUCUGCAACUCGACUACAUGAAGUUGGAAUUGCUAGUAAUGGCGUAUCAGCAAUGACGCCGUGAAUACGUUCCCGGGCCUUGUACACACCGCCCGUCACAUCAUGGGAGUUGGUUUUACCCGAAGUCGCUGACUUAACCGCAAGGAGAGAGGCGCCUAAGGUGAGGCCGAUGACUGGGAUGAAGUCGUAACAAGGUA
This 1514-nucleotide ribosomal RNA is filed under the name metagenome. RNAcentral describes it as "bacterial SSU rRNA". It matches the Rfam family "Bacterial small subunit ribosomal RNA". The record is from RNAcentral.